UGGCGAUGAUGAUAAAACUUAGGCUUGUUUCUCAAAACAUUCGCAGUUGCCGCCUAAGAGCUUUCGCCCUGCCAGGCUUGAGAGCUAAUGCUGCCAAUUUCUUCCUUGGAUGUCUGAGCCA
Non-coding RNA from Hordeum vulgare subsp. vulgare (domesticated barley), 121 nucleotides. The record is from Rfam. NCBI's taxonomy places the organism in Eukaryota, Viridiplantae, Streptophyta, Magnoliopsida, Poales, Poaceae.